CAAGGAAUUUUGUGCAAUGGGCGAAAGCCUGACACAGCAACGCCGCGUGGGGGAUGAAGGCCCUCGGGUCGUAAACCCCUUUUCUUAGGGAAGAAUAAUGACGGUACCUGAGGAAUAAGCCUCGGCUAAAUACGUCCAGCAGCCGCGGUAAUACGUAUGAGGCGAGCGUUAUUUGGAUUUACUGGGCGUAAAGAGGGCGUAGGCGGCCUUUCAAGUCGGAUGUGAAAUAUCCCGGCUUAACCGGGAGGGGUCAUCCGAUACUGUUGGGCUAGAGUGCAGCAAGGGAAGGUAGAAUUCCCGGUGUAGUGGUGAUAUGCGUAGAUAUCGGGAGGAAUACCCAGUGGCGAAGGCGGCCUUCCGGGCUGUUUCCGACGCUGAGGCCCGAAAGUGUGGGGAGCGAACAGGAUUAGAUACCCUGGUAGUCCACACUUUAAACGAUGGAUACUAGGUAUAGGGAGUAUCGACCCUCUCUGUGCCGAAGCUAACGCUUUAAGUAUCCCGCCUGGGGACUACGGCCGCAAGGCUA
Molecule: ribosomal RNA, 526 nt
Filed under: uncultured bacterium
Lineage: Bacteria
Description: bacterial SSU rRNA
Rfam family: Bacterial small subunit ribosomal RNA
Source: RNAcentral